RNAcentral lists this non-coding RNA (349 nucleotides) under Perkinsus marinus ATCC 50983. RNAcentral describes it as "Eukaryotic large subunit ribosomal RNA". It matches the Rfam family "Eukaryotic large subunit ribosomal RNA", at positions 1 to 347 of the family's 3401-position model. Lineage: Eukaryota; Perkinsozoa; Perkinsida; Perkinsidae. The record is from Rfam by way of RNAcentral.
AAGGCCUGAUGUGUGUGAGAUUACCCGCUGAAUUUAAGCAUAUAAGUAAGCGGAGGAAAAGAAACUAACUAGGAUUCCCUUAGUAAUGGCGAAUGAACAGGGAUCAGCUCAGUGCCAAAUCGGAAUCACUUGUGGUUCUGAAAUGUGGCUUGAAGGCAGUACCAGUGGCAUCGCGGACGAAAGUCUCUUGGAAAAGAGCGUCAUAGAGGGUGAGAAUCCCGUGAGUCGUUCGCCGUUUGUCACGUACGGUCUGCGUUCUAACGAGUCGCGUUCCUUGGGAUUGGAGCGUAAACGGGUGGUAAAUUUCAUCCAAAGCCAAAAAUAUAUACUCGAGACCGAUAGCACAAAA